This 946-nucleotide long non-coding RNA is filed under the name Crocodylus porosus (Australian saltwater crocodile). RNAcentral describes it as "lncRNA (ENSCPRG00005011473.1)". The record is from RNAcentral. Lineage: Eukaryota; Metazoa; Chordata; Crocodylia; Crocodylidae.
GCCUAAAAAUCACCAGCUCGGCAGGAAACACAGUUCCGACGAUGCAUGCCAAGCCUAUGUACUUGAAAACAUUUCCCCUUUCUCCAGCCUCGAGUUUUCUCUGCUUGUCCCACCACCUGAAACCCAAUUUCUCUUUAUUUCGGAGACCCGAGCACUUGCCAUUAAAGAAUAUUAUUUUUAUUCAUUUUUUUCAAAAAACAGUGUUGGGACAAUAAGAGAUCCCCUCUGCCCGUCUGGUUUCUCUUGAUUCACACCCCCGGGCUGUAACGUCAAACGCCAGCGGAGGGUCCCCGCCCCCACCAGGCCGCGGCUACGAGGCAAGGACUAAACCCGCGCUGGCGGCUGAGGGAAGGGCCCUGCACCCCGCACCCACCCCCGCGGGCCCAGGCUCCCCGACACGCUCCCGACACUUACGGCUGUCGGGAAGCCGCAAAGAGAGCCGUCCCUUCCCGCCUCACGUACCCGCACAAAAUGGCGGCCAAGACCCUACCUGGCUUCCUCCUCCACCGCCUUCUGCUCUGCGUGCUGACGUCACACACACGCGCCGUGCGUGGCCCCUCUACCACCGCCCGCCCUGCGGAGUGACGCCACACGCACACAUCAUGCACAAUCCCAUCCACCGCCGCCGGGGAAGACUCAGUCUCCUUGAUAGGGGCGGGCAGGGACCAGCUCCGCCCCUUGCUGUGGGCGGGGCUAAGCGGUCUGGGCCGUUGGGGUGGUUGUGGUCCCCUGGGCUUCAAGGAACUCACUCUCUCAGAAAACAAACAGCAGCAGAAAAUGCAGAGAACAGGGGAUGGCGAUGGUGACACAGCAGUAGAGGACACGAGGAUGCUGGUAUUCCCAUAGCAUCCUUAUAUAGUCCAAAAGCAGAAAUAGCUCAUCUAAAAAUGGCCAUCUCAGAGGGGGUUGUGAUCUAAAUAAAAGCAGAGAAGCUCUAGUCGUGACA